This 1337-nucleotide ribosomal RNA is filed under the name Salmonella enterica subsp. enterica serovar Stanley. RNAcentral's name for it is "partial 23S ribosomal RNA". It matches the Rfam family "Bacterial large subunit ribosomal RNA", at positions 870 to 2188 of the family's 2925-position model. The record is from RNAcentral. Lineage: Bacteria; Pseudomonadati; Pseudomonadota; Gammaproteobacteria; Enterobacterales; Enterobacteriaceae.
UUAGGUAGCGCCUCGUGAAUUCAUCUCCGGGGGUAGAGCACUGUUUCGGCUAGGGGGCCAUCCCGGCUUACCAACCCGAUGCAAACUGCGAAUACCGGAGAAUGCUAUCACGGGAGACACACGGCGGGUGCUAACGUCCGUCGUGAAGAGGGAAACAACCCAGACCGCCAGCUAAGGUCCCAAAGUCAUGGUUAAGUGGGAAACGAUGUGGGAAGGCCCAGACAGCCAGGAUGUUGGCUUAGAAGCAGCCAUCAUUUAAAGAAAGCGUAAUAGCUCACUGGUCGAGUCGGCCUGCGCGGAAGAUGUAACGGGGCUAAACCAUGCACCGAAGCUGCGGCAGCGACACUGUGUGUUGUUGGGUAGGGGAGCGUUCUGUAAGCCUGUGAAGGUGUGUCGUGAGGCAUGCUGGAGGUAUCAGAAGUGCGAAUGCUGACAUAAGUAACGAUAAAGCGGGUGAAAAGCCCGCUCGCCGGAAGACCAAGGGUUCCUGUCCAACGUUAAUCGGGGCAGGGUGAGUCGACCCCUAAGGCGAGGCCGAAAGGCGUAGUCGAUGGGAAACGGGUUAAUAUUCCCGUACUUGGUGUUACUGCGAAGGGGGGACGGAGAAGGCUAUGUUGGCCGGGCGACGGUUGUCCCGGUUUAAGCGUGUAGGUGUGUGUUCCAGGUAAAUCCGGUUCACUUUAACACUGAGGCGUGACGACGAGGCACUACGGUGCUGAAGCAACAAAUGCCCUGCUUCCAGGAAAAGCCUCUAAGCAUCAGGUAACAUCAAAUCGUACCCCAAACCGACACAGGUGGUCAGGUAGAGAAUACCAAGGCGCUUGAGAGAACUCGGGUGAAGGAACUAGGCAAAAUGGUGCCGUAACUUCGGGAGAAGGCACGCUGACACGUAGGUGAAGUGAUUUACUCAUGGAGCUGAAGUCAGUCGAAGAUACCAGCUGGCUGCAACUGUUUAUUAAAAACACAGCACUGUGCAAACACGAAAGUGGACGUAUACGGUGUGACGCCUGCCCGGUGCCGGAAGGUUAAUUGAUGGGGUCAGCGCAAGCGAAGCUCCUGAUCGAAGCCCCGGUAAACGGCGGCCGUAACUAUAACGGUCCUAAGGUAGCGAAAUUCCUUGUCGGGUAAGUUCCGACCUGCACGAAUGGCGUAAUGAUGGCCAGGCUGUCUCCACCCGAGACUCAGUGAAAUUGAACUCGCUGUGAAGAUGCAGUGUACCCGCGGCAAGACGGAAAGACCCCGUGAACCUUUACUAUAGCUUGACACUGAACAUUGAGCCUUGAUGUGUAGGAUAGGUGGGAGGCUUUGAAGCGUGGACGCCAGUCUGCGUGGAGCCG